GUCUAUGGCCAUACCACCCUGAACACGCCAGAUUGCGUCUGAUCUCAGAAGUUAAGCCGGGUUGGCCCGGUUAGUACUUGGAUGGAAGGACAGAGAGAAUGUGUGCA
Non-coding RNA from Erinaceus europaeus (western European hedgehog), 107 nucleotides. The record is from Rfam. NCBI's taxonomy places the organism in Eukaryota, Metazoa, Chordata, Mammalia, Eulipotyphla, Erinaceidae.